RNAcentral lists this ribosomal RNA (253 nucleotides) under uncultured bacterium. Its description in RNAcentral is "partial 16S ribosomal RNA". It matches the Rfam family "Bacterial small subunit ribosomal RNA", at positions 524 to 776 of the family's 1533-position model. The record is from RNAcentral.
UACGUAGGGUGCAAGCGUUGUCCGGAAUUAUUGGGCGUAAAGAGCUCGUAGGCGGUUUGUCGCGUCGGCUGUGAAAACUCGGGGCUCAACCCCGAGCCUGCAGUCGAUACGGGCAGACUAGAGUGCUGUAGGGGAGACUGGAAUUCCUGGUGUAGCGGUGAAAUGCGCAGAUAUCGGGAAGAACACCCGUGGCGAAGGCGGCUCUCUGGGACGGUACUGACGCUGAGACGCGAAAGCGUGGGGAGCGAACAGG